GUGAGAUGGGAGAGAGAGCCUGGGUGUGCGUGCGUGCAAUUUCUCGACCUAAGACAUUUGCCUGUGGACUGGUGCGUUCUCGAGUUCUCAGGAAGUCUCUAUGUAUGGCCUUGACUCAAACACAAAGGGCUUGAUGUUGCUGUGUUCUUCCCUUACCUGGCCAUUAAAGGGGAAUGCAAACACUUCAGGAGUAGAUCUAAGCAAAGAGAUAUAUAUAUAUAUAUAUAUUCAAUCCACUAAUACUAAACGUGCAUUUAACAUGAAAACAUCUCUAUAUUUAGUGUUUUGAUGGUCGACCAGGUUUAUUUGAGCAAUGAUCAGCACCAUUUUAAAUUGCCAUAGAAACGACUGACGCCAGUGCGUCACUGGCAGGAAUCAGCAAAUUGUCUGUGGUAUUGAAUUUGCGCACGGAGUGAAUCGAAGAGAGUGAGUGAGGAUAGGCGUUGACAAUGAAGAUGGCGACAACAAGUGGCAAUUCAAACAGCCCCCGGCUGUAUGAAUUGGCUCCAAAAAAUCCCUCUAAACUUCCAUCGGCUGCCCAAGGACCUACAACUUUUGAAGAAGUGGCUCCAUGUCCUGAAGAGGAAGGACGUGCCAGCUCGAGCUUGCAGGAUCUGCAGACAGCACUUCGGAGGGAGACUUCACGAUGAAGGGCCAGGCUAGCGUUUGACACGAGAUGAAGGAUGACAUCUUCAUCCCUGAAAUGUUUUCAUCCUAGAGGAGCCUGUGCAGGAGGCAGAGGUGGUACUUGCAAAUCUGUGUUAUUUCUAAGGCUAUUGUUUAUUUCAAGUAUAUGCAGUAAUUCUAUUUAACUAGCCUAAUAGAUGCCUUAAUUGUUUUCUUCCAACAGGAAGGUACAGUUAGUGCAGCAUGCCAAACUGACCACCUGGUGCCAGAGUGUUCCUGUGCUGCGGUGGAGAAGAAGUCCAGCGGGACCAUCACUAAAGAGCUCUGGGCCCAGCUAGAUUGCGCUCAGAACCAUCAGUAUACAAUCGAGUCCUGCCCCUAUAUGCCACAGAUGGAGCUGACGGAGAGUGAGAUCAGUGAAGACCAUAACUCGCUGUAUGGACCUGAGAGCUCAGAAUCACAAUCAUCUCAGUGUGAGCCAAGAUAUACUAUCAAUCACUUUGGGGAAGCGGGAUGGUGUUCCGAAAAUGGAGAAGGAGCAGGCCAUUCAACAGCCAAUUCAAAGAUACACCCAUCCAUAAAGGGAAUCCGAGUGGAAUAGUUUUCCCGCUUAUGUUUUUUUUUAAACUCUUUUCAAUGGAUGUGCUACCUACCUUGUCCCAGUUCUGCUGUUUCGACUCUCUCAACCUAUGAAUGCUCAGCUAUGAAAAGCCAACUGACAUUUGCUUCUGAAGUGUUGAACUGUUGCACCCUCUAACCACUCUGGUUAUUAUUUUGAUGUAAAAGGAGCUUUUGUAAAAAUACAAUUGAUUGUUUGCUGUGCUGGAUGCUGUGUAUUCACUGUCUGAGUGAUGGGACAUUUUUAUAGUAUCUGUAGCAUAUUUUGGUGUGUAUUUAAUCUACAUUUUAACUUCUUAAUGUGGCAUUCAGCUGUAGAAACAACAACAGAGGCCCCCUGCUCUUCUUUUGGUAAAAAGCUGAGGGAUAGGGCCGGAGAAAUGUAAGCCCUCUCAAAUUCAUAGACAGAGUUAUAGAUGCAAGGACUGACCAUCCAUGAUAUCAAAAUUGUGAUCUGUUUCCACUACCAUGUACCCAGUUUGCUUUGGAUAAAGGUGUCUGCUAAAUGGCA
Oncorhynchus nerka (sockeye salmon) is the source of this 1756-nucleotide long non-coding RNA. RefSeq lists it as uncharacterized. The record is from RefSeq and is a predicted model, not a curated record. NCBI's taxonomy places the organism in Eukaryota, Metazoa, Chordata, Actinopteri, Salmoniformes, Salmonidae. The transcript is spliced from 2 exons.